Molecule: ribosomal RNA, 795 nt
Filed under: uncultured bacterium
Lineage: Bacteria
Description: bacterial SSU rRNA
Rfam family: Bacterial small subunit ribosomal RNA
Source: RNAcentral
AGAGUUUGAUCAUGGCUCAGAUUGAACGCUGGCGGCGUGCCUAACACAUGCAAGUCGAGCGGUAACAGGCGUAGCAAUACGUGCUGACGAGCGGCAAACGGGUGAGUAACGCUUCGGAAUCUGCCCAAUGGUGGGGAAUAACCAGCCGAAAGGUUGGCUAAUACCGCAUGAGCCCUUCGGGGGAAAGCGGGGGAUCGCAAGACCUCGCGCCGAUGGAUGAGCCGAAGCCGGAUUAGCUAGUUGGUAGGGUAACGGCCUACCAAGGCGACGAUCCGUAGCUGGUCUGAGAGGACGACCAGCCACACUGGGACUGAGACACGGCCCAGACUCCUACGGGAGGCAGCAGUGGGGAAUAUUGGACAAUGGGGGAAACCCUGAUCCAGCGACGCCGCGUGUGUGAAGAAGGCCUGCGGGUUGUAAAGCACUUUUAGUGGGGAUGAAAAGCUCAGGGCUAACACCUCUGGGUCUUGACCUAACCCACAGAAAAAGCACCGGCUAACUCUGUGCCAGCAGCCGCGGUAAUACAGAGGGUGCAAGCGUUAAUCGGAAUUACUGGGCGUAAAGCGUACGUAGACGGUUGGAUAAGUCGGAUGUGAAAGCCCCGGGCUCAACCUGGGAAUGGCAUUCGAGACUGUGCAGCUAGGGUGCGGAAGAGGGAAGCGGAAUUUCCGGUGUAGCGGUGAAAUGCGUAGAUAUCGGAAGGAACACCAGUGGCGAAAGCGGCUUCCUGGUCCAGCACCGACGUUCAGGUACGAAAGCAUGGGGAGCAAACAGGAUUAGAUACCCCCGUAGUCC